AGCAGCCGCGGUAAUUCCAGCUCCAAUAGCGUAUAUUAAAGUUGUUGCAGUUAAAAAGCUCGUAGUUGAAUUUCGGGAUUGGCACAUCGGUCGUGCCUUAAGGGGUGUGAACUGGUGUAGUCAAUUUCUCACCUUCUGGAGAACCGCGAUGUCCUUAAUUGGGUGCCGCGAGGAACCAGGACCUUUACUUUGAAAAAUUAGAGUGUUUAAAGCAGGCAUUUUUGCUUGAAUACAUUAGCAUGGAAUAAUAAAAUAGGACGGCAUGAUUCUAUUUUGUUGGUUUCUAGGAUCACCGUAAUGAUUAAUAGGGAUAGUUGGGGGCAUUAGUAUUCAAUUGUCAGAGGUGAAAUUCUUGGAUUUAUUGAAGACUAACUACUGCGAAAGCAUUUGCCAAGGAUGUUUUCAUUAAUCAAGAACGAAAGUUAGGGGAUCGAAGACGAUCAGAUACCGUCGUAGUCUUAACCAUAAACUAAUGCCGACUAGGAAUCAGACGAUGUUAAUUUUAAU
RNAcentral lists this ribosomal RNA (507 nucleotides) under uncultured Glomus. Its description in RNAcentral is "SSU rRNA". It matches the Rfam family "Eukaryotic small subunit ribosomal RNA", at positions 569 to 1073 of the family's 1831-position model. The record is from RNAcentral. Lineage: Eukaryota; Fungi; Glomeromycota; Glomeromycetes; Glomerales; Glomeraceae.